CCUACGGGAGGCAGCAGUGGGGAAUAUUGGGCAAUGGACGCAAGCCUGACCCAGCAACGCCGCGUGAAGGAAGAAGGCUUUCGGGUUGUAAACUUCUUUUAAGGGGGAAGAGCAGAAGACGGUACCCCUUGAAUAAGCCACGGCUAACUACGUGCCAGCAGCCGCGGUAAUACGUAGGUGGCAAGCGUUGUCCGGAUUUACUGGGUGUAAAGGGCGUGCAGCCGGAGAGACAAGUCAGAUGUGAAAUCCACGGGCUCAACUCGUGAACUGCAUUUGAAACUGUUUCCCUUGAGUGUCGGAGAGGCAGUCGGAAUUCCUUGUGUAGCGGUGAAAUGCGUAGAUAUAAGGAAGAACACCAGUGGCGAAGGCGGAUUACUGGACGAUAACUGACGGUGAGGCGCGAAAGCGUGGGGAGCAAACAGGAUUAGAUACCCCGGUAGUC
Molecule: ribosomal RNA, 442 nt
Filed under: uncultured bacterium
Lineage: Bacteria
Description: partial 16S ribosomal RNA
Rfam family: Bacterial small subunit ribosomal RNA
Source: RNAcentral